Molecule: unclassified non-coding RNA, 167 nt
Organism: Dasypus novemcinctus (nine-banded armadillo)
Lineage: Eukaryota; Metazoa; Chordata; Mammalia; Cingulata; Dasypodidae
Source: Ensembl
UAGCCUUCGUCAUGGCGACCAGAUGGCACCAGGAGACAUGGAGCCCCCUGGCCAGUGUCCCGUGUGAGUAGUAGCAGUGCAGCAGGGGAGAUCCUGAAGGAGAGAGCCCGCCUAAGUUGAUGCCUGCAGAUUGAAUUUCCAGAGGCUUAGGAGGAGGAAGCUCUCCA